GACAGAGGGGGCAAGCGUUGUCCGGAUUUACUGGGCGUACAGCGCGCGCAGGCGGUGGUGUAGGUACCUGGUGACAGUCUCGGGCUCAACUCGAGGGGGUCUGGGUAGACCGCACCGCUGGAGGCAGGGAGAGGGAUGUGGAAUACCCGGUGGAGCGGUGAAAUGCGUAGAGAUCGGGUGGAACACCAGUGGCGAAGGCGGCAUCCUGGCCCUGACCUGACGCUGAGGCGCGAGAGCGUGGGGAGCAAACGGGAUUAGAAACCCUGUAGUCC
RNAcentral lists this ribosomal RNA (272 nucleotides) under uncultured prokaryote. Its description in RNAcentral is "partial 16S ribosomal RNA". It matches the Rfam family "Bacterial small subunit ribosomal RNA", at positions 524 to 796 of the family's 1533-position model. The record is from RNAcentral.